RNAcentral lists this transfer RNA (74 nucleotides) under Rhodococcoides corynebacterioides. RNAcentral's name for it is "tRNA-Phe". It matches the Rfam family "tRNA". Rfam says of the family: Transfer RNA (tRNA) molecules are approximately 80 nucleotides in length. Their secondary structure includes four short double-helical elements and three loops (D, anti-codon, and T loops). Further hydrogen bonds mediate the characteristic L-shaped molecular structure. tRNAs have two regions of fundamental functional importance: the anti-codon, which is responsible for specific mRNA codon recognition, and the 3' end, to which the tRNAs corresponding amino acid is attached (by aminoacyl-tRNA synthetases). tRNAs cope with the degeneracy of the genetic code in two manners: having more than one tRNA (with a specific anti-codon) for a particular amino acid; and 'wobble' base-pairing, i.e. permitting non-standard base-pairing at the 3rd anti-codon position. Lineage: Bacteria; Bacillati; Actinomycetota; Actinomycetes; Mycobacteriales; Nocardiaceae. The record is from RNAcentral. RNAcentral also lists the same sequence under 45 other names.
GGCCAGGUAGCUCAGUCGGUACGAGCGUCCGCCUGAAAAGCGGAAGGUCGCCGGUUCGAUCCCGGCUCUGGCCA